GACGAACGCUGGCGGCGUGCUUAACACAUGCAAGUCGAACGGAAAGGCCCUGCUUUUGUGGGUUGCUCGAGUGGCGAACGGGUGAGUAACACGUGAGUAACCUGCCCUUGACUUUGGGAUAACUUCAGGAAACUGGGGCUAAUACCGGAUAGGAGCUCCUGCUGCAUGGUGUGGGUUGGAAAGUUUCGGCGGUUGGGGAUGCACUCGCGGCUUAUCAGCUUGUUGGUGGGGUAGUGGCUUACCAAGGCUUUGACGGGUAGCCGGCCUGGGAGGGUGACCGGCCACAUCGGCACUGAGAUAAUGCCCACACUCAUACGGGAGGCAACAGUGGGGUAUAUUGAACAAUGCGCGGAAGCCUAAUGCAGCAACGCCGCGUGCGGGAUAACGGCCUUCAGGUUGUAAACCGCUUUCGCCUGUGACGAAGCGUGAGUGACGGCAAUGGAUAAAGAAGCACCGGCUAACUACGUG
Molecule: ribosomal RNA, 468 nt
Filed under: uncultured bacterium
Lineage: Bacteria
Description: partial 16S ribosomal RNA
Rfam family: Bacterial small subunit ribosomal RNA
Source: RNAcentral